RNAcentral lists this ribosomal RNA (2271 nucleotides) under Triticum aestivum (bread wheat). RNAcentral's name for it is "partial small subunit ribosomal RNA". Lineage: Eukaryota; Viridiplantae; Streptophyta; Magnoliopsida; Poales; Poaceae. The record is from RNAcentral.
AUGCCUUUAUCACAGUUGGCCAAAAAACACCUAUUUGAACCUGAUACUAGUGAGCUAGCCAAUCCAGUGAUUACGAAGUUAGGCGUACCACACGGCCAUCCUGAGCUUGGACCAUGUGGAUGGACGGCAGGGCCAUCUUUCUCAGCUCGUUGUUAUCAACCUCCUGCACCUGGGCCCAGACUUGAUGAAGCUUCAACCCUUGGGACACAUAUGAUAUCCAAAGGUUUAGGCUGGAAGAAUCAUGAGGUUGAAUACGCUCCAAUGCCUCUUGGGUAUCUUGAAUGGGGUACUAAUGUCUUGAAGAAAUAUCAUACCAAUCUGAAGGGGAGUGAGGAAGGUGUGGAUUAUGUCUAUGGAGCCAUUUAUUGCUCUUUAGGCGACUAUUUUGUCUCCCCUUCUCCCAACACCAACACGUUUUUGUUCUUGUCUGGCGAGCGUACAGUCACACUUCUUGAUAUGCAUCAGAUUGCGGGGUUGCCCCUUGAUGGUGAACCUUAUGAAGAAUAUGUUCCCCUAGCUGAUGAGUUGGAUCCUUCGACUCUUUUGUACCCCAACUUCCUGCCUCGGCUCCUAGAAAUUUGGACCAAGCUUGCUAUGGGUGGCAAAGUAGGUUUCAAGGAAUGGUGUGAUUUCUUUCACAAUAGUGGAGUAAACUCCUUUGCUACCAAGAGCUUAGAAGACCAGCGCGUGUACACCGCGGCUUUUCUUGCCAUAUGGCUUUGCCGCUACGUCGUUGUUGGUGGUGGGCCAUAUAUUCGCCCUGGGGUAUUAGUGAUGGCGGCAUGGAUUUCCCUAGGACGACGCAUCUCUUCGGGCCCACCUGCUCUUUGCUCCCUUUAUUACUCACUUCGGCGGAUUUGUACUCAUCCGAUUGGCCCCUCAUUCAUACAUAGGAUUUGGCCGGUUCACUACCUUGCUGGAUGGAUGGGCGUGUACCUCAAGAAACCCUAUGGAAAUAGAGCAAAAACGCCAAAUUUCCUAAGCUCCAGAAUUUUGGCGGUACAACCUAAUAUGGUGAACACCAUGUUUAAGACGCCACAUCAUUUUACUCCUAAAGAGGCACAUGCUUUCCUCGAUGACUCUAAGAAUAUUGUUUGGAACCCCUAUUCUCUCACUAUGGAAGGUGUGUUCAAACCCAAGAGGGCUUUCUUAAUUUCUAUUCGUCGAGGCAUGCUGCCGUGGAGGCAUGGUACUAUCACCGCCGAUGUGUGUAUAGCUGAACCAUAUCACCCAGAUCGAGUGGAACGACCGUUUCGUCUUGACCAAGUUGUACCCUUUUCUCCUCUAGCGAGCCUGUAUACUCAAGACGAAAUUGGAAUUGCCUAUGCUUUUUGGUCACACCUAUUAUCCUUGGCCCCUGAAGAAUUCCACUAUUUUCCUGACGAUGAUCGAGUUGGGAACUCCUCUGUAGCAUGGGCUAAUUGGUGGAAAAAAUUUCUAAAGCCUUUCGCCGACAUUCUGGACCAACUUUGCAAUGGCAACAUGACUAGGAAGACCCCUUAUGAUGUAAGGAUAAAAAAUAAGCGUGCACUACAACACAAUAUCAGGCCUCGCCCAUUGUCUGAUAAAGAUUUUAUGGUGGUGAGGAGAGUAUCUAUGAAGCACCGUGACCAACAUGUUCAGUCCCUUGAGAAGGCAGAAACGCCUAUUACAGAUCAAUGGAGACUGGUCCUCUACAAUUAUUUAAAUGAUGUUGUUGCUGCUCAACCGGUGAAGUCUAAAGAGCUACGGCGAGGUAAUGUACUGAAACAGAAUGCCAUAGCUGGGUCCUCCUCCGCUCAUCCACUAUCAGUGGAUAAUGAUAUCUCAGACACUACGCCAUCCGCUAGCGAAAAGAGACGCAGACAAUCUACACCGUCUCAUGUGGAACAGGAAGCAAGGCUGCCUUUGAUGCGUACACUUGAUUUGGCCCAAGCAUCCAAUUUUUCUGAACCAAUAACAUUGGAUGGUCCGUCCUUAGAUGUUGAAUUCAGUAACUUUGUUAGUGGUGAAGAUUUUAGCCAUGUUCUCACAGGAGAAAAGGACCAUGGCCUUGGUGACCUCUUCGAUUUAUCCGUCGAGGAUUGUACCUUUGGCGAGUGUGGCACAAGUCGUCUACCCUCCAGCCCUGGUGUGGCUGAAACUGUGCUCCCUACCCCUAGUGCUCUUGAUUUCUUGUCAACUUUACCUGGUUGCGAACAAGAAAGUUACCAUUCACAAGACCCUGUAAUGAUGGUUGUAUCAGGGAAGGCGCACAGAUGGACUGCAGCUUUGUCAAAGACACAUUUAUAG